AAACUUAAAGCCCUCGUUCACCUUGCUAUUUUCUAACGUACCAAAAGGAAGCGGAAAAAAAAAAAAUCUACUUUCCUCGGCAGUGAUCACUUCUCCAAUGGUGAAGCCGAGCAAGAGCAGCAGCAACAAAAGCAACAACAAUUCAAUCAACAAGAAUAAAUUAUCGGUCUAUGAUUUCGACUGCGAAGACCAUCAGGUCGAGAAGGAUUCCCAAAAAAUUCUGUCAAAAUUCAAAACAAAAAUCCCUAACUUCAACCAAAACAAAUUCUCCUAUUCUCCUGUCGAUAAAUACUGCUUCCUCCGAUCCUGUACGUUCCCGGCCUAGACUAUUGCCUUUUUUGGGUCAUAUAUUUUAUGAUAUAUAUCAAUGUUUUCUGAAGAAUUUUUUCUUUUGGAAUUCGGAUGUGGAGACAUUAUUGUUUUGAUUCUUAUCUGAUUUUCUUUUCUUUCUUUCUUUCUUUUUUUUUUUUUUGGUGUUGACUUGUGUGGUAAUAUUUUGGUAUACAAUUUUGCUUGUGUCUAAUGUAGUUACUGGAAAGCUCGUAAAAGGCUGGGCUCAGUAAAGCCCAAACUCACACCGGGGGUUUUUUCAGUGCAAAUAAGUUUUUUAAUUCAUUUGCAUUUCUCUGAACUCCGGGGAGGGGAUUAUUACUGGCAAUUUUGAGGACAUCACGAUG
RNAcentral lists this long non-coding RNA (677 nucleotides) under Coffea arabica (coffee). RNAcentral describes it as "long non-coding RNA (CARA_LNC001657)". The record is from RNAcentral. Lineage: Eukaryota; Viridiplantae; Streptophyta; Magnoliopsida; Gentianales; Rubiaceae.